GUAACAAGGUCUCCGUUGGUGAACCAGCGGAGGGAUCAUUACCGAGUUUACAACUCCCAAACCCCUGUGAACAUACCACUUGUUGCCUCGGCGGAUCAGCCCGCUCCCGGUAAAACGGGACGGCCCGCCAGAGGACCCCUAAACUCUGUUUCUAUAUGUAACUUCUGAGUAAAACCAUAAAUAAAUCAAAACUUUCAACAACGGAUCUCUUGGUUCUGGCAUCGAUGAAGAACGCAGCAAAAUGCGAUAAGUAAUGUGAAUUGCAGAAUUCAGUGAAUCAUCGAAUCUUUGAACGCACAUUGCGCCCGCCAGUAUUCUGGCGGGCAUGCCUGUUCGAGCGUCAUUUCAACCCUCAAGCACAGCUUGGUGUUGGGACUCGCGUUAAUUCGCGUUCCUCAAAUUGAUUGGCGGUCACGUCGAGCUUCCAUAGCGUAGUAGUAAAACCCUCGUUACUGGUAAUCGUCGCGGCCACGCCGUUAAACCCCAACUUCUGAAUGUUGACCUCGGAUCAGGUAGGAAUACCCGCUGAACCUAAGCAUAUCA
This 543-nucleotide unclassified non-coding RNA is filed under the name Fusarium oxysporum. Its description in RNAcentral is "sequence contains 18S rRNA gene, ITS1, 5.8S rRNA gene, ITS2, 28S rRNA gene". The stretch from base 190 to 343 matches the Rfam family "5.8S ribosomal RNA". The record is from RNAcentral. Lineage: Eukaryota; Fungi; Ascomycota; Sordariomycetes; Hypocreales; Nectriaceae.